AUGGAGGUGCUUGACCUUUCCCGUAACCAAUUGGUCGGCACUGUCCCAUCAUGGAUUGGUAGGCUUGACCACCGUUGCUACUUGGAUCUCUCCAACAAUACAUUGGUUGGCGAGGUACCCAAGAGUUCUAAGGGCCUCAACACUACUAGAUGUUCACCGGACAUUGAUUUCACUAACAUGUCACUGUAUCUGAAACGUAGCGGAAGAAGUAGACAUCGCCGACAACAUAAACAUGCCCCAAAUGUCAUAGCUGGGACCAACAACAUUGUCAGAUCUGGUAGCAACAACGUUCUGGCUGGGAACGACAACACUAUAAUUUUUGGGAAUGACAACGCCGUAUCUGGGAGCUACCAGGUCGUAUAUGGGAAUAACCAUGUCGUAACUGGGAGCAACCAUGCCGCAUCUGGGAGCAACCAUGCCGCAUCUGGGAGCUACCAUGUCGUGAUUGGGAAACACAAUAUCAUAUCCGGGACUCACAAUGACGUAGGUGGGAGCAAAAAUAUCGUAUCCGGUAGUAAAAAUGUUGUAUCUGGGAGCCAUAAUACCGUGUCCGGGAAGAACCAUUUCGUAACUGGGCACAACAAAGUCGUAACCUGA
This 597-nucleotide ribosomal RNA is filed under the name Triticum aestivum (bread wheat). RNAcentral describes it as "partial small subunit ribosomal RNA". The record is from RNAcentral. Lineage: Eukaryota; Viridiplantae; Streptophyta; Magnoliopsida; Poales; Poaceae.